Molecule: transfer RNA, 72 nt
Filed under: Toxocara canis (dog roundworm)
Lineage: Eukaryota; Metazoa; Nematoda; Chromadorea; Rhabditida; Toxocaridae
Rfam family: tRNA
About the family: Transfer RNA (tRNA) molecules are approximately 80 nucleotides in length. Their secondary structure includes four short double-helical elements and three loops (D, anti-codon, and T loops).
Source: Rfam by way of RNAcentral
GUGGCAAUAGCUCAGUAGUAGAGCCCCAGCUUCGCAUGCGGGGGGACCCGGGUUCGCUUUCCGGUUGCUUCC